This 741-nucleotide ribosomal RNA is filed under the name Polyporus grammocephalus. RNAcentral describes it as "eukaryotic LSU rRNA". It matches the Rfam family "Eukaryotic large subunit ribosomal RNA", at positions 142 to 869 of the family's 3401-position model. The record is from RNAcentral. Lineage: Eukaryota; Fungi; Basidiomycota; Agaricomycetes; Polyporales; Polyporaceae.
GUUGUAGUCUGGAGAAGUGCUUUCCGCGCCGGACCGUGUACAAGUCUCUUGGAAUAGAGCGUCAUAGAGGGUGAGAAUCCCGUCUUUGACACGGACUACCGGUGCUUUGUGAUGCGCUCUCAAAGAGUCGAGUUGUUUGGGAAUGCAGCUCAAAAUGGGUGGUAAAUUCCAUCUAAAGCUAAAUAUUGGCGAGAGACCGAUAGCGAACAAGUACCGUGAGGGAAAGAUGAAAAGCACUUUGGAAAGAGAGUUAAACAGUACGUGAAAUUGCUGAAAGGGAAACGCUUGAAGUCAGUCGCGUCGUGCAGAACUCAACCUUGCUUUCGCUUGGUGCACUUUCUGUACGACGGGCCAGCAUCAAUUUUGACCGUCGGAUAAAGGCCGAAGGAAUGUGGCACCCGUUUGGGUGUGUUAUAGCCUUCGGUCGCAUACGGCGGUUGGGAUUGAGGAACGCAGCGCGCCGCAAGGUGGGGCUUCGGCCUACUUUCGCGCUUAGGAUGCUGGCAUAAUGGCUUUAAACGACCCGUCUUGAAACACGGACCAAGGAGUCUAACAUGCCUGCGAGUGUUUGGGUGGAAAACCCGAGCGCGUAAUGAAAGUGAAAGUUGAGACCUCUGUCGUGGAGGGCAUCGACGCCCGGACCAGACGUUUACUGACGGAUCCGCGGUAGAGCAUGUAUGUUGGGACCCGAAAGAUGGUGAACUAUGCCUGAAUAGGGUGAAGCCAGAGGAAACUCUGGUG